GCAUUCGUCAAGCAUGUUUUCAUUGACCAUGAGCGAAAGUCAGAGGCUCGAAGACGAUCAGAUACCGUCCUAGUUCUGACCAUAAACGAUGCCAACUGACGAUCCGUGGUGGUAGUAUUUAAACCUUCCUCACGGGCAGUCCCCGGGAAACCAUUAAGUCUAUGGGUUCCGGGGGAAGUAUGGUUGCAAAGCUGAAACUUAAAGGAAUUGACGGAAGGGCACCACCAGGAGUGGAGCCUGCGGCUUAAUUUGACUCAACACGGGAAAACUCACCCGGGCCGGACACUAUGAGGAUUGACAGAUUGAAAGCUCUUUCUUGAUUUGGUGGUUGGUGGUGCAUGGCCGUUCUUAGUUGGUGGAGCGAUUUGUCUGGUUAAUUCCGAUAACGAACGAGACUCUAGCCUGCUAAUUAGUACACCUGUCCACUGUUCUUGUGCAGGCGGGCGCUUGCCAAAUCUGCCCUAUACGGUUGGCCCGUCCGUGCCGCAGUUGGUUGCGCUGUGUCUUCGCCGCAAGGUUGACGCUUGGUGUGGCGGCUGUGCAUGCCGGCGGGGUGGCUUGGGCGGCGGGUUCGGCGUCUGCUUCCGGGUACGGCGCGGGUGUCUUCUUCUUAGAGGGACAAGUGGGAGAAGCCGCACGAGAUUGAGCAAUAACAGGUCUGUGAUGCCCUUAGAUGUCCGGGGCCGCACGCGCGCUACAAUGACGGUGCCAACGAGUCUGACUUUCUGGCCCGAAAGGGUUGGGCAAACUGGUCAAUCACCGUCAUGACAGGGAUCGGGGCUUGGAAUUAUUCCCCGUGAACGAGGAAUUCCUAGUAAGUGCAAGUCAUAAGCUUGCGCUGAUUACGUCCCUGCCCUUUGUACACACCGCCCGUCGCUACUACCGAUUGAAUGGUUUAGUAAGGUCCUUGGAUUGGCGCCAUUGAAGCCGCAAGGCUCAGGCGGUGCUGAGAAGACGACCGAACUUGAUCAUUAGAGGAAGUAAA
This 985-nucleotide ribosomal RNA is filed under the name Scyphophyllidium sp. AM-2008. Its description in RNAcentral is "bacterial SSU rRNA". It matches the Rfam family "Eukaryotic small subunit ribosomal RNA", at positions 951 to 1786 of the family's 1831-position model. The record is from RNAcentral. Lineage: Eukaryota; Metazoa; Platyhelminthes; Cestoda; Phyllobothriidea; Phyllobothriidae. RNAcentral also lists the same sequence under 1 other name.